GUUCUACUGCGACGUUGGUGACUGCCAAUAAUGUUUUUUUGACCUACAAAUCAAAAAACAUUGGGAAUCUAGAUGUUUAAGUGGCAGUAAACUGGGCUUGUACCCAGAAACUUUAAACUUGGGCCGAGAUACCCACCUGGUAUUAUCCAGGUCAAAAGCUGAGGUAAGACGGCGUUGUGGUGAACU
Molecule: non-coding RNA, 186 nt
Filed under: Okeania sp. SIO3I5
Lineage: Bacteria; Bacillati; Cyanobacteriota; Cyanophyceae; Oscillatoriales; Microcoleaceae
Description: 6S RNA
Rfam family: 6S / SsrS RNA
About the family: E. coli 6S RNA was the first non coding RNA to be sequenced, but its function was unknown until recently. It consists of 184 nucleotides that fold into an extended hairpin structure with a large single-stranded internal bulge.
Source: RNAcentral